This 376-nucleotide ribosomal RNA is filed under the name uncultured bacterium. RNAcentral's name for it is "bacterial SSU rRNA". It matches the Rfam family "Bacterial small subunit ribosomal RNA", at positions 790 to 1167 of the family's 1533-position model. The record is from RNAcentral.
GUAGUCCACGCCCUAAACGAUGUCAACUAGUUGUCGGGGAAGCAAUUCCUUGGUAACGCAGCUAACGCGUGAAGUUGACCGCCUGGGGAGUACGGUCGCAAGAUUAAAACUCAAAGGAAUUGACGGGGACCCGCACAAGCGGUGGAUGAUGUGGAUUAAUUCGAUGCAACGCGAAAAACCUUACCUACCCUUGACAUGUCCAGAACCCUGCUGAAAGGUGGGGGUGCCCGAAAGGGAAUUGGAACACAGGUGCUGCAUGGCUGUCGUCAGCUCGUGUCGUGAGAUGUUGGGUUAAGUCCCGCAACGAGCGCAACCCUUGUCAUUAGUUGCUACAUUUAGUUGGGCACUCUAAUGAGACUGCCGGUGACAAACCGGA